UUUAAUUCGAUGCAACGCGAAGAACCUUACCUACCCUUGACAUCGUGCGAACUUUCCAGAGAUGGAUUGGUGCCUUCGGGAACGCACAGACAGGUGCUGCAUGGCUGUCGUCAGCUCGUGUUGUGAAAUGUUGGGUUAAGUCCCGUAACGAGCGCAACCCUUGUCCUUAUUUGCCAGCGAGUCAUGUCGGGAACUCUAAGGAGACUGCCGGUGACAAACCGGAGGAAGGUGGGGACGACGUCAAGUCAUCAUGGCCCUUACGGGUAGGGCUACACACGUGCUACAAUGGCCGGUACAAAGGGUUGCGAAGCCGCGAGGUGGAGCUAAUCCCGAAAAGCUGGUCUCAGUCCGGAUCGGAGUCUGCAACUCGACUCCGUGAAGUCGGAAUCGAUAGUAAUCGUGAAUCAGAAUGUCA
RNAcentral lists this ribosomal RNA (415 nucleotides) under uncultured Halomonas sp. RNAcentral describes it as "bacterial SSU rRNA". It matches the Rfam family "Bacterial small subunit ribosomal RNA", at positions 945 to 1359 of the family's 1533-position model. Lineage: Bacteria; Pseudomonadati; Pseudomonadota; Gammaproteobacteria; Oceanospirillales; Halomonadaceae. The record is from RNAcentral.